RNAcentral lists this ribosomal RNA (552 nucleotides) under uncultured archaeon. RNAcentral's name for it is "bacterial SSU rRNA". It matches the Rfam family "Archaeal small subunit ribosomal RNA", at positions 325 to 879 of the family's 1478-position model. The record is from RNAcentral.
ACGGGGCGCAGCAGGCGCGAAAACUUUGCAAUACACGAAAGUGUGACAGGGCUAUCCCGAGUGCCAUCCGCUGAGGAAGGCUUUUACCCAGUCUAGAACGCUGGGGGAAUAAGGAGAGGGCAAGUCUGGUGUCAGCCGCCGCGGUAAUACCAGCUCUCCGAGUGGUGUGGAUGUUUAUUGGGCCUAAAGCAUCCGUAGCUGGCUAAGUUAGUCCCCUGUUAAAUCCAACGAAUUAAUCGUUGGAUCGCGGGGGAUACUGCUUGGCUAGGGGACGAGAGAGGCAGACGGUAUUUCCGGGGUAGGGGUGAAAUCCUAUAAUCCCGAGAAGACCACCAGUGGCGAAGGCUGUCUGCUAGAACGCGUCCGACGGUGAGGGAUGAAAGCUGGGGGAGCGAACCGGAUUAGAUACCCGGGUAGUCCCAGCUGUAAACGAUGCAGGCUAGGUGUUUGGACGGCCACGUGCCGUUCUAGUGCCGCAGGGAAGCUGUUAAGCCUGCCGCCUGGGGAGUACGAUCGCAAGAUUGAAACUUAAAGGAAUUGGCGGGGGAGCAC